UUGACCAUGAAUGUAAAGAGGAUAACAUAAUGAAUAAAACAGGUGAGAAGAGAAAUUGUGUAGUAAAACUGUCGGUGUCUGCAACCACGAGGAGGUGUUGAAACGUUUUCUCCUGAGUUGGAAACGGUCUGUCCGUGUUGCUUUAUACAAAGACUUAGAGACAUUGAGGACUACUCCCUUCCCCCUUACAGGGGGUGGUACAGGGAGAAAACGUUUUCUGACUGGU
Pristis pectinata (smalltooth sawfish) is the source of this 226-nucleotide small nucleolar RNA. RefSeq annotates it as small nucleolar RNA U3. NCBI's taxonomy places the organism in Eukaryota, Metazoa, Chordata, Chondrichthyes, Rhinopristiformes, Pristidae. The record is from RefSeq and is a predicted model, not a curated record. The transcript has a single exon.